GGGCCCGCACAAGCGGUGGAGCAUGUGGUUUAAUUCGAUGAUACGCGAGGAACCUUACCAGGGCUUAAAUGUAGUGGGACAGGUCUAGAGAUAGACCCUUCUUCGGACUCAUUACAAGGUGCUGCAUGGUUGUCGUCAGCUCGUGCCGUGAGGUGUCAGGUUAAGUCCUAUAACGAGCGCAACCCCUGCCGUUAGUUGCCAGCAUGUAAUGAUGGGAACUCUAACGGGACUGCCGGUGCAAACCGCGAGGAAGGUGGGGAUGACGUCAAAUCAUCACGGCCCUUACGUCCUGGCUACACACGUGCUACAAUGGCCGGUACAGAGAGCAGCCACUACGCGAGUAGGCGCG
This 349-nucleotide ribosomal RNA is filed under the name uncultured bacterium. RNAcentral's name for it is "bacterial SSU rRNA". It matches the Rfam family "Bacterial small subunit ribosomal RNA", at positions 917 to 1269 of the family's 1533-position model. The record is from RNAcentral.